GACGAACGCUGGCGGCGUGCUUAACACAUGCAAGUCGAACGGAAAGGCCCUUCGGGGUCCUCGAGUGGCGAACGGGUGAGUAACACGUGGGUGAUCUGCCCUGCACUUUGGGAUAAGCCUGGGAAACUGGGUCUAAUACCGAAUAGGACCACGCGCUUCAUGGUGUGUGGUGGAAAGCUUUUGCGGUGUGGGAUGGGCCCGCGGCCUAUCAGCUUGUUGGUGGGGUAAUGGCCUACCAAGGCGACGACGGGUAGCCGGCCUGAGAGGGUGACCGGCCACACUGGGACUGAGAUACGGCCCAGACUCCUACGGGAGGCAGCAGUGGGGAAUAUUGCACAAUGGGCGCAAGCCUGAUGCAGCGACGCCGCGUGAGGGAUGACGGCCUUCGGGUUGUAAACCUCCUUCAAUAGGGACGAAGCGCAAGUGACGGUACCUAUAGAAGAAGCACCGGCCAACUACGU
RNAcentral lists this ribosomal RNA (461 nucleotides) under uncultured bacterium. Its description in RNAcentral is "partial 16S ribosomal RNA". It matches the Rfam family "Bacterial small subunit ribosomal RNA", at positions 28 to 506 of the family's 1533-position model. The record is from RNAcentral.